AUUGAACGCUGGCGGCAUGCCUUACACAUGCAAGUCGAACGGCAGCACGGACUUCGGUCUGGUGGCGAGUGGCGAACGGGUGAGUAAUGUAUCGGAACGUACCUUUCAGUGGGGGAUAACGUAGCGAAAGUUACGCUAAUACCGCAUAUUCUGUGAGCAGGAAAGCAGGGGAUCGAAAGACCUUGCGCGGAUUGAGCGGCCGAUAUCAGAUUAGCUAGUUGGUGGGGUAAAGGCCUACCAAGGCGACGAUCUGUAGCGGGUCUGAGAGGAUGAUCCGCCACACUGGAACUGAGACACGGUCCAGACUCCUACGGGAGGCAGCAGUGGGGAAUUUUGGACAAUGGGGGCAACCCUGAUCCAGCCAUGCCGCGUGAGUGAAGAAGGCCUUCGGGUUGUAAAGCUCUUUCGGCCGGGAAGAAAUCGCAUAGGCUAAUACCCUGUGUGGAUGACGGUACCGGAAUAAGAAGCACCGGCUAACUACGUG
Molecule: ribosomal RNA, 484 nt
Filed under: uncultured bacterium
Lineage: Bacteria
Description: partial 16S ribosomal RNA
Rfam family: Bacterial small subunit ribosomal RNA
Source: RNAcentral